RNAcentral lists this unclassified non-coding RNA (299 nucleotides) under uncultured Teloschistaceae. RNAcentral describes it as "sequence contains ITS1". The stretch from base 1 to 105 matches the Rfam family "5.8S ribosomal RNA", at positions 50 to 154 of the family's 154-position model. Lineage: Eukaryota; Fungi; Ascomycota; Lecanoromycetes; Lecanorales. The record is from RNAcentral.
GAAAUGCGAUAAGUAAUGUGAAUUGCAGAAUUCAGUGAAUCAUCGAAUCUUUGAACGCACAUUGCGCCCCUUGGUAUUCCGAGGGGCAUGCCUGUUCGAGCGUCAUUGCAACCCUCAAGCUUUGCUUGGUCUUGAGCUUCUCGCCGGCGACGGCGUGCUCGAAAAUUAGUGGCGGUCCAGGGAGACUUCAAGCGCAGUAAAACUUUCCGCUUUCGAGGUUCUCGCCUGUGGCCAGCCGUAAACCCCCCAACUUUUCAAUGAUUGACCUCGGAUCAGGUAGGGAUACCCGCUGAACUUAA